RNAcentral lists this ribosomal RNA (663 nucleotides) under uncultured bacterium. RNAcentral's name for it is "bacterial SSU rRNA". It matches the Rfam family "Bacterial small subunit ribosomal RNA", at positions 94 to 788 of the family's 1533-position model. The record is from RNAcentral.
AGUGGCGGACGGGUGAGUAACGCGUGAGAAUCUACCUUCAGGACGGGGACAACAGCUGGAAACGGCUGCUAAUACCCGAUAUGCCGAAAGGUGAAAAGUUAUCUCGCCUGGAGAGGAGCUCGCGUCCGAUUAGCUAGUUGGUGGGGUAAAAGCUUACCAAGGCAACGAUCGGUAGCUGGUCUGAGAGGAUGAGCAGCCACACUGGAACUGAGACACGGUCCAGACUCCUACGGGAGGCAGCAGUGGGGAAUUUUCCGCAAUGGGCGAAAGCCUGACGGAGCAACGCCGCGUGGGGGAAGAAGGUUUUUGGAUUGUAAACCCCUUUUUCUCAAGGAAGAACAAAAUGACGGUACUUGAGGAAUCAGCCUCGGCUAACUCCGUGCCAGCAGCCGCGGUAAUACGGAGGAGGCAAGCGUUAUCCGGAAUUAUUGGGCGUAAAGCGUUCGUAGGCGGCUGUUCAAGUCUGCUGUCAAAGACCGAGGCUCAACCUCGGGUCGGCAGUGGAAACUGGAUAGCUAGAGGUCGGUAGGGGCAGAGGGAAUUCCCAGUGUAGCGGUGAAAUGCGUAGAUAUUGGGAAGAACACCGGUGGCGAAAGCGCUCUGCUGGGCCGAACCUGACGCUGAGGGACGAAAGCUAGGGGAGCGAAUGGGAUUAGAUACCCC